AACGUAGGAGACGAACGUUAUCCGGAGUUACUGGGCGUAAAGGGCGUGUAGGUGGUAGAGUAAGUCUGGCGUGAAAUUUUUCGGCUUAACCGGGAAAGGUCGUCGGAUACUGCUUAACUAGAGGACGGUAGAGGCGUGUGGAAUUCCGGGUGUAGUGGUGAAAUGCGUAGAGAUCCGGAGGAACACCAGUGGCGAAGGCGACACGCUGGGCCGUACCUGACACUGAUGCGCGACAGCAUGGGGAGCAAACAGG
Molecule: ribosomal RNA, 253 nt
Filed under: uncultured bacterium
Lineage: Bacteria
Description: partial 16S ribosomal RNA
Rfam family: Bacterial small subunit ribosomal RNA
Source: RNAcentral